UUGCAUUUGAUAUGCUUCAUUUUCAAUAAUUAUAUGGACUUCAUUCUCUAGAUCUUCAUCAUUCGGGCAUGUGAAAAGUGCGGGAUCAAACAAAUGCCUAUGCUGAGCCCUUAUUGCAACUCGCCAAGGCUCUUUCAUUUUGUUAUCAUCAAUAUACCACACUAGUCUCGCUUGCUUUGCAAAAAUAUAAGGAUCACUUUCGUACCAUACAUGACCAGUGUGGACACUGAUGAGUUGAGGAUCUAUAAUAAUUGGCC
Molecule: long non-coding RNA, 257 nt
Filed under: Elaeis guineensis (African oil palm)
Lineage: Eukaryota; Viridiplantae; Streptophyta; Magnoliopsida; Arecales; Arecaceae
Description: long non-coding RNA (EGUI_LNC025061)
Source: RNAcentral